GACGAGCGCUGGCGGCGUGCUUAACACAUGCAAGUCGAACGGAAAGGCCCUGCUUUUGUGGGGUGCUCGAGUGGCGAACGGGUGAGUAACACGUGAGUAACCUGCCCUUGACUUUGGGAUAACUUCAGGAAACUGGGGCUAAUACCGGAUAGGAGCUCCUGCUGCAUGGUGGGGGUUGGAAAGUUUCGGCGGUUGGGGAUGGACUCGCGGCUUAUCAGCUUGUUGGUGGGGUAGUGGCUUACCAAGGCUUUGACGGGUAGCCGGCCUGAGAGGGUGACCGGCGACAUUGGGACUGAGAUACGGCCCAGACUCCUACGGGAGGCAGCAGUGGGGAAUAUUGCACAAUGGGCGGAAGCCUGAUGCAGCAACGCCGCGUGCGGGAUGACGGCCUUCGGGUUGUAAACCGCUUUCGCCUGUGACGAAGCGUGAGUGACGGUAAUGGGUAAAGAAGCACCGGCUAACUACGUG
This 468-nucleotide ribosomal RNA is filed under the name uncultured bacterium. RNAcentral's name for it is "partial 16S ribosomal RNA". It matches the Rfam family "Bacterial small subunit ribosomal RNA", at positions 28 to 507 of the family's 1533-position model. The record is from RNAcentral.